Drosophila biarmipes is the source of this 1641-nucleotide long non-coding RNA. RefSeq lists it as uncharacterized. The record is from RefSeq and is a predicted model, not a curated record. Lineage: Eukaryota; Metazoa; Arthropoda; Insecta; Diptera; Drosophilidae. The transcript has 3 exons.
UGUACACAGCUUUGCUAAAUUCACAAUUUGUACAGAUUUUUGUCGCUUAGUACAUAACAAGCGCAUAAGAUCUUUAAUAGUAUUCGGAUGUACACUUAAUCCUGCUCCAACUUACACUAAGCGCUUCCUCCCUACCAUGGGUACCCUUUAUAUGCUGCUGGGCACCACCCAAACACGCGCCGUCCGGCCUCCUUGCGACUACGGCGGUUCCAUCUCCCCCACUGGGACAAGUUACUCAGACAUUGUCGGUUUUACAAACAUUUAAUGAAUUUAAUGCCUUCAAGACCAAGACUUGGACACCGUCUUCAAAAUUUAAUCGGUCAAAGCAGAGGAUCUGUAUUUUUGGAAAAGACUACAGGCACCUCGGAAAGUUAUGCUCUACCAGUUAUGUAUUGGUAGAGCUCGCAUGGAAAAACGGCCCUCAAAAAGUACGCACGCAGGGCGUGCGUGUUGGGUCACCCAAUCCUGAGAAGCUCCUGGGGAAAAGAAGGGACAGGCCAAAAGGUACGUUAUUGCACUGUAAUCUAUAUUAUUUUACUAACACUCGCGAUCUCCUCGCGACCACUGCUGGCCGGCACGAAGGGCAAUUGUCUGCCAAGUAUGUUUUCGAACUCCCAAGUAAAUCUGCCAAGUAUGUACUCGAACUCCCAAGUAAAUCAGCCCAGUAUGUAGUCGAACUCCCAAGUAAAUCUCCCGGGGCCAUUUGUGUCGGGACCCCGGUUGCCCUAUAAUUGAUAAAUAAUAAAUACCGCACUCUAUGUUAACUAACAUACUACCACUCACUUUUAUUUUAUUUUUGGCACAUAAUUUAACUUAAGCUUCUAGCUGCAUCUGUCUGGUUCCGCAAUAUGGCUGCGACUAUACCAAUAUCUGCUGAUCAUCUUCGUUUCCGCUCCCCGCCAUAUUACAUGGCCUCUGCUAAAAUUGGGUCAUUGGACACAUGAGUGCCAUUUAAGAUAAUCUCGGAGCGAACCCGUUUAAUCCUCAGAUGGCCAGAUUGCCCGCCAGAUUUAUUCCGCUGCUGCAACUAUCUCCCUAUCAGUGCCAUCUUCGACUCGAAUUGCAACAUCUGCUCAAUAGAAUUUUGUAGGUCAUAGCCUGUCAAUCGGCGAUAUAUCGAUACCACUAUUUGGUGGUAAAUGUUUUGGCAGAAUUCAUUUGCGAUACCUGUGUGCCUGGCACUGUUGUAUGAAUUAAUUAAAGUUAACGUUUGAUGGUUGCUUUCUCGGGUGCGUACGCAUUCUCGCUGGCCUGAACAGUGUCACCGCGUGGGUAAGGCCGUAAUUGAAAGACUUGAACUUUUCGAAAACUGUAGGUUUGGGCUGCCUGUAGUUCAUUCAGAAAUUAGGUAAAACUAUGCCCCUUCGAAUGUGAAACCGUGCAAAUUGACACAACCUCUGUGAAAGUUGUAAUAUUCAAUUUAGGCUUCCAUAAAAAUUUUUUUUUGACGUUUUUACGAAAUGUGCUUAAAACGAUCCCCAAUCUAUCCAUAUACCGUGAAGAUUGUCACAACCCCUACAUGGUAAUAUUACGUGUGCAAGAGGAUUAACAUUUAAUAGGGGUUUUUCAGAAUAACUGAUAUUUCCGAAACACUUAUACGCAAUUCAAAAAUAGCUUUCCUCUUCAAAUCUCAUCAAUAAA